GGGAGAAGCUGUGAGCAUAGGAAGGUGACCCACUGGGGACUGGGAAUGCCAUGGGUAUGGAUAGGGAGGCGCCUCCUGGAGCCAUGGGGCAGGGGGAGGGUGAGGGAUGCUUUGUCUCGUAUUGGGUUGGUUUCUGAUUUGGGCUCCUUUAGGGGAAUUUGGGGUGGGUUUGGGCCGUGGGAUGCCAUCGGGGCCUUGCGGGUGGCUCACAAUGGCAAGACCCCAAAAAACACGUAUGGAAGGGAGUCAGGAGGAAACCCUCUUCCCAAGGAGAGUCUGGGAAGGGGGUAAGAAAAUUUGACGUGCUGUUUUCUCCGUAGAUCGUGGAGGGAUCCUGUUGGAUGGGGUUUGGAGCCACCUGGUCUAGCAGAAGAUGCCUCUACACAUGGUGGGGGGGUGGAAGUAGAUGAUCUUUAAGGUCUCUUCCAACCCAAACUAUUCUGGAGUUCUAGGAUUCUCUGAAAACCGUUUAACACCGGGAGAAGGCCUGGAUGGGGGGGGAACUAUGGCCGGAGAAAUAACUCCUGGGACUGCUUUAGGUUUAACUAACAGAUUCCCCCGGCUGAACCCCUGCGCUGGGCCGAAUUUAGCAGCAGAAGAGAUAACCAGGAGAUAAGGACUGAUACCCCGGGAGGACAGCGGGAGACGGGCAGGCGGCCGAGGAAAGGGAGAGAAGCCGGAGGCAGCGUUGGGAAGGGCUGCCUAUCCAGAUGUGCCGGGUUUUGGAGACGCAUCUUUCCCUCCUUUGCAAAAUCCCUGACGAUUUUCUCUCCCAAAUCAGCGAUUUGCUGAAGAUUCGAUGAAUUACUUCAGGAUAGAAGCGCUUUCCUUA
This is a long non-coding RNA of Neopelma chrysocephalum (saffron-crested tyrant-manakin), 832 nucleotides long. RefSeq lists it as uncharacterized. NCBI's taxonomy places the organism in Eukaryota, Metazoa, Chordata, Aves, Passeriformes, Pipridae. The transcript has 2 exons. The record is from RefSeq and is a predicted model, not a curated record.